Molecule: ribosomal RNA, 429 nt
Filed under: Bacteroidota bacterium
Lineage: Bacteria; Pseudomonadati; Bacteroidota
Description: Bacteroidetes bacterium partial 16S ribosomal RNA
Rfam family: Bacterial small subunit ribosomal RNA
Source: RNAcentral
UAGGGAAUCUUCCGCAAUGGACGCAAGUCUGACGGAGCAACGCCGCGUGAGUGAAGAAGGAUUUCGGUUCGUAAAACUCUGUUGUUAGAGAAGAACAGCGCAUAGAGUAACUGUUAUGCGUGUGACGGUAUCUAACCAGAAAGCCACGGCUAACUACGUGCCAGCAGCCGCGGUAAUACGUAGGUGGCAAGCGUUGUCCGGAUUUAUUGGGCGUAAAGCGAGCGCAGGCGGUCAAUUAAGUCUGAUGUGAAAGCCCCCGGCUCAACCGGGGAGGGUCAUUGGAAACUGGUUGACUUGAGUGCAGAAGAGGAGAGUGUAAUUCCAUGUGUAGCGGUGAAAUGCGUAGAUAUAUGGAGGAACACCAGUGGCGAAGGCGACUCUCUGGUCUGUAACUGACGCUGAGGCUCGAAAGCGUGGGUAGCAAACAGG